GAUGAACGCUGGCGGCGUGCCUAAUACAUGCAAGUCGAGCGAACAGACGAGGAGCUUGCUCCUCUGACGUUAGCGGCGGACGGGUGAGUAACACGUGGAUAACCUACCUAUAAGACUGGGAUAACUUCGGGAAACCGGAGCUAAUACCGGAUAAUAUAUUGAACCGCAUGGUUCAAUAGUGAAAGACGGUUUUGCUGUCACUUAUAGAUGGAUCCGCGCCGCAUUAGCUAGUUGGUAAGGUAACGGCUUACCAAGGCGACGAUGCGUAGCCGACCUGAGAGGGUGAUCGGCCACACUGGAACUGAGACACGGUCCAGACUCCUACGGGAGGCAGCAGUUGGGAAUCUUCCGCAAUGGGCGAAAGCCUGACGGAGCAACGCCGCGUGAGUGAUGAAGGUCUUCGGAUCGUAAAACUCUGUUAUUAGGGAAGAACAAAUGUGUAAGUAACUAUGCACGUCUUGUCGGUACCUAAUCAGAAAGCCACGGCUAACUACGUG
Molecule: ribosomal RNA, 497 nt
Filed under: uncultured bacterium
Lineage: Bacteria
Description: partial 16S ribosomal RNA
Rfam family: Bacterial small subunit ribosomal RNA
Source: RNAcentral